AAUAAUUGUGUUUGCUCGCAAACGAAAAAAAACCGACUUCAAUCACAUCGACGAGUAAUACAACGUAGAUCGACGAAAAAAUAGUCAAGUAACUACGCGUUAUCAAAGAUUACUCAAUAAGUAUUUAUCAGAUCUCGAUAAAAUUUAUAUGUGACCACAUAUAAACAUCAGCUUUCGAUUAAAUUAAAAAUUACCAAAUCAAAAUCAAAUCGGUACAUCCAGUAAAAAGUUAUUGCAAAUUUUCGAGAGUUUCCCUCGAUUUCUCCAGGAUCUCAUCAUCAGAUCCUGGUUUCCUUAUCAUGGUACCAAACUAGGGAUAUCCUCUUUCCAACAAAAAAAGAAUUAUCAAAAUCGGUACAUCCAGUAAAAAGUUAUGCGGUAUAAUACAACGUAGGUCGACGAAAAUAGCGUCAAGUAAAAA
This 421-nucleotide unclassified non-coding RNA is filed under the name Melitaea cinxia (Glanville fritillary). RNAcentral describes it as "misc RNA ENSMCXG00005009226.1". The record is from RNAcentral. Lineage: Eukaryota; Metazoa; Arthropoda; Insecta; Lepidoptera; Nymphalidae.